Molecule: ribosomal RNA, 496 nt
Filed under: uncultured bacterium
Lineage: Bacteria
Description: partial 16S ribosomal RNA
Rfam family: Bacterial small subunit ribosomal RNA
Source: RNAcentral
AUGAACGCUGGCGGCGUGCCUCAUACAUGCAAGUCGAGCGCACGGACGAGAAGCUUGCUUCUCUGAUGUUAGCGGCGGACGGGUGAGUAACACGUGGAUAACCUACCUAUAAGACUGGGAUAACUUCGGGAAACCGGAGCUAAUACCGGAUAAUAUUUUGAACCGCAUGGUUCAAAAGUGAAAGACGGUCUUGCUGUCACUUAUAGAUGGAUCCGCGCUGCAUUAGCUAGUUGGUAAGGUAACGGCUUACCAAGGCAACGAUGCAUAGCCGACCUGAGAGGGUGAUCGGCCACACUGGAAUUGAGACACGGUCCAGACUCCUACGGGAGGCAGCAGUAGGGAAUCUUCCGCAAUGGGCGAAAGCCUGACGGAGCAACGCCGCGUGAGUGAUGAAGGUCUUCGGAUCGUAAAACUCUGUUAUUAGGGAAGAACAUAUGUGUAAGUAACUGUGCACAUCUUGACGGUACCUAAUCAGAAAGCCACGGCUAACUACGUG